CGACUUAGCUCAAUUGGUAGAGCAAUUCAUUCGUAAUGAAGAGGUUGAAGGUUCAAGUCCUUCUCUCGGC
This 70-nucleotide transfer RNA is filed under the name bovine gut metagenome. The stretch from base 6 to 63 matches the Rfam family "tRNA", at positions 8 to 63 of the family's 71-position model. From Rfam's summary of the family: Transfer RNA (tRNA) molecules are approximately 80 nucleotides in length. Their secondary structure includes four short double-helical elements and three loops (D, anti-codon, and T loops). The record is from RNAcentral.